Molecule: small nuclear RNA, 164 nt
Filed under: Erinaceus europaeus (western European hedgehog)
Lineage: Eukaryota; Metazoa; Chordata; Mammalia; Eulipotyphla; Erinaceidae
Description: U1 spliceosomal RNA
Rfam family: U1 spliceosomal RNA
About the family: U1 is a small nuclear RNA (snRNA) component of the spliceosome (involved in pre-mRNA splicing).
Source: Rfam by way of RNAcentral
AUACUUACCUGGCAGGGGAGAUACCAUGAUCACGAAGGUGGUUUUCCCAGGGCGAGGCUUAUCCAUUGCACUCCGGAUGUGCUGACCCUUGUGAUUUCCCCAAAUGUGGGAAACUCGACUGCAUAAUUUGUGGUAGUGGGGGACUGCGUUUGCGCUCUCCCCUA